CCUACGGGAUGCACCAGUGGGGAAUAUUGCACAAUGGGCGCAAGCCUGAUGCAGCCAUGCCGCGUGUAUGAAGAAGGCCUUCGGGUUGUAAAGUACUUUCAGCGAGGAGGAAGGCAUCAAGGUUAAUAACCUUGGUGAUUGACGUUACUCGCAGAAGAAGCACCGGCUGACUCCGUGCCAGCAGCCGCGGUAAUACGGAGGGUGCAAGCGUUAAUCGGAAUUACUGGGCGUAAAGCGUACGCAGGCGGUCUGUCAAGUCGGAUGUGAAAUCCCCGGGCUCAACCUGGGAACUGCAUUCGAAACUGGCAGGCUAGAGUCUUGUAGAGGGGGGUAGAAUUUCAGGUGUAGCGGUGAAAUGCGUAGAGAUCUGAAGGAAUACCAGUGGCGAAGGCGGCCCCCUGGACAAAGACUGACGCUCAGAUGCGAAAGCGUGGGGAGCAAACAGGAUUAGAUACCCCGGUAGUC
Molecule: ribosomal RNA, 465 nt
Filed under: uncultured bacterium
Lineage: Bacteria
Description: bacterial SSU rRNA
Rfam family: Bacterial small subunit ribosomal RNA
Source: RNAcentral